CCUACGGGGGGCAGCAGUGGGGAAUAUUGGUCAAUGGAGGCAACUCUGACCCAGCAAUGCCGCGUGAAUGAAGAAGGUCUUCGGAUUGUAAAGUUCUUUAAUCAGGGACGAAGAAGAUGACGGUACCUGAGGAAUAAGCCACGGCAAACUAUGUGCCAGCAGCCGCGGUAAUACGGAGGAUGCGAGCGUUAUCCGGAUUUAUUGGGUUUAAAGGGUGCGUAGGCGGAAGGUUAAGUCAGCGGUCAAAUGUCGGUGCUCAACACCGGCCUGCCGUUGAAACUGGUCUUCUUGAGUGAGCGAGAAGUAUGCGGAAUUCGUGGUGUAGCGGUGAAAUGCAUAGAUAUCACGAAGAACUCCGAUUGCGAAGGCAGCAUACCGGCGCUCGACUGACGCUGAGGCACGAAAGCGUGGGGAUCGAACAGGAUUAGAUACCCCUGUAGUC
This 442-nucleotide ribosomal RNA is filed under the name uncultured bacterium. Its description in RNAcentral is "partial 16S ribosomal RNA". It matches the Rfam family "Bacterial small subunit ribosomal RNA", at positions 338 to 795 of the family's 1533-position model. The record is from RNAcentral.